This 450-nucleotide ribosomal RNA is filed under the name uncultured bacterium. RNAcentral describes it as "bacterial SSU rRNA". It matches the Rfam family "Bacterial small subunit ribosomal RNA", at positions 100 to 565 of the family's 1533-position model. The record is from RNAcentral.
GGACGGGUGAGUAACGCGUGAGCAAUCUGCCUUUCAGUGGGGGAUAACGACUGGAAACGGUCGCUAAUACCGCAUGAUGUAUUUUUGUCGCAUGACGAAGGUACCAAAGAUUUAUCGCUGAAAGAUGAGCUCGCGUCUGAUUAGCUAGUUGGUGAGGUAAUGGCCCACCAAGGCGACGAUCAGUAGCCGGACUGAGAGGUUGAACGGCCACAUUGGGACUGAGAUACGGCCCAGACUCCUACGGGAGGCAGCAGUGAAGAAUAUUGCGCAAUGGGGGAAACCCUGACGCAGCAACGCCGCGUGAAGGACGAAGGUUUUCGGAUUGUAAACUUCUUUUGUCGAGGACGAAAAAAAUGACGGUACUCGACGAAUAAGCCACGGCUAACUACGUGCCAGCAGCCGCGGUAAUACGUAGGUGGCAAGCGUUAUCCGGAUUUACUGGGUGUAAAG